Long non-coding RNA from Dreissena polymorpha, 1983 nucleotides. RefSeq lists it as uncharacterized. The transcript is spliced from 3 exons. The record is from RefSeq and is a predicted model, not a curated record. Lineage: Eukaryota; Metazoa; Mollusca; Bivalvia; Myida; Dreissenidae.
UUCAAAGCAAUUUCUACAAGUUUAAAUUCCUUAACCCUGUCCAAGUGGUAUACACACUGUUUUUUCUCAAUAUCAAACUCAGCCAGUCCAGGUUGUCAAAUAACAAUCUAUCUGAUAACCCCAGCGUGUGCUUUGCAUCAGAUGUUGGGUAUGUUUGCUGCAAAUCUAUUGGUUAUAAGAUAUAACAGCCUUUUCUAAUUGGCUGAAUUCAAAUACAGAAAGUUUACCUGUUAGAUUGAAACAUGAAACAUGGUGGACAAUGUACUGGUUUAACUUGUUAAAAUAAAGUUAAAGAAAUUUAACAAACAGAAGAGUUCAUGAGUUUUUCCAUUAAAAACACUUUCUUAAAAUACUUAUGUAUUUAUAUCAUUUGGAAAGUGACAUGAAAUAUUGCUAAAGAGUGAUGCAUACAUUGUUUGAGCAGUCUGUCUAGGAAUAGAACAACAACUGAAGUUGAUGGAAGAUACUGCAGAGUUUGGCAGGGAAAUAAUCCAACAGCAAAGCGGCUCUUUAAGCGCAUUUACCUAGAGGACUUACAGGGCCACAAAUUCAUGAGCACACGUACCUCAUACCAAAAAGGACCCGGAGGCAGUGACUGGUGAUCAAUAUUCUCAGAAGAAGAGGAAAAUGGAAGUGGAAGACUUGGACAAACAUUUUUAAAAACUAGCCUCUGUGUUAAGCCUGGCAGUCUGUGGCUGGUGACAUGUUUUAUUUUGGUUACUUCUUGUAUAAAAAAGACCAGUUAUUUAUUUUGUGAAUUGUAUUUUGUGUUUGUUUUUUGUCUUAAUUUAUUUGUUGUUUUUUUUAUUUAGGAAUUUGGAUAAUUGAAUAAAGUCCGUGUUUAAUAGUACUGAGCAUAGUAUAAUAAAUAACAAAUUUACAACAGUUGUUAAUUUGUUAUGUAUUAUUAUUAACUAUGCCCAGUACUUGAAUACUGGCUGUCUGCAUGGGAAUUUGUUUUCUAGAAAGUUGGUUUCAGACUUAAAUAUUUGAAGUUAACCUUCGGAACUUUUCUAGAAUUGUACUGGAACACAUCAACUAGAACUGAACUUCUGUUAUCAUACUGAAAGUGUUCUAGAAUUAAUAAGGAACAGUUGUUGAACGUUAAAACUUAUGAGAAAAAACUCUAUAACAAUUGUACGUGAUGUGUGUGUGCUUGUAAUUGUGUGUGUUUAUGAACAUAUGUGAGAAAGGAAGUAUACUUGUCAUAAGAGAAAUGUAAAAUUCUACUUCUAUGUUUUAUAUUGUGCCUUUUAUAAGUUUUUCUUUUCUCACCUGUAUAUGCGGGCAUGUUUAUGGAUGUGUUUUUGAAUGUGUGCAUGCAUGCCUGUGGUUAAGAGAGUUGGUACUUUAUGAAAAUGUAAAACCACUCAUUUUUGAAUAUGUACUGUGACUGCAUGUGUGUGGUUAAUGAUUGAUGCCAGAUCUUGUUCUUGUUUAACUUCUAUGAUGAAACCUUUAGUUACAUUCACAUUUGUUUUUCAAAAUCGAUAAAAUGCCUUUGAUCUAUAAUCUGUUUUUUUCUAUUUUAUUUCAGCUUUUUAUUAAAUUCCAUAGCUUUUCACAGAAUUCCAUAUAAUUCUAUGGAAUUUCACGGCAUUCUAUGGAAUUCCACGGCAUUCUAUGGAAUUCCACGGCGUUCUAUGGAAUUCCACGGCGUUCUAUGGAAUUCCACGGCAUUCUAUGGAAUUCCACGGCAUUCUAUGGAAUUCCACGGCAUUCUAUGGAAUUCCACGGCAUUCUAUGGAAUUCCACGGCAUUCUAUGGAUUUCCACGGCAUUAUAUGGAAUGCCACGGAAUUCUAUGGAAUUCCACGGCAUUUUAUGGAAUUCCAUCCCAUAUCAAGUCCCUCUUCUGUUUUUUUUUCACUUUUCCAUUGAUUGCAUGGAAUCGGAUGGAAAGUUAGUGCCAAUACUCCACGGAAUUCCAUCUAACGAUUUCCAUAGAAUUCCAUAUGAUUCCACGGCAGAUCUACAGACGGGG